Molecule: small nucleolar RNA, 152 nt
Filed under: Sorex araneus (European shrew)
Lineage: Eukaryota; Metazoa; Chordata; Mammalia; Eulipotyphla; Soricidae
Description: Small nucleolar RNA SNORA68 (ENSSARG00000020275.1)
Source: RNAcentral
AUUGGAAAACCCCAGUCACCUACGGAUCCACUGGUCCAGAUGGCCCCAUCCCACCAGAGCAGCCAAUGUAAAAUCCGAACAGAAACAGGGUCUCUUGCCAGUGAGGGAGCUGAGAUUCUGCCCCUCAAAAUGAAUCUGGAGAUUCUACAGCA